This is a long non-coding RNA of Alosa alosa (allis shad), 313 nucleotides long. RefSeq lists it as uncharacterized. The transcript has 3 exons. The record is from RefSeq and is a predicted model, not a curated record. NCBI's taxonomy places the organism in Eukaryota, Metazoa, Chordata, Actinopteri, Clupeiformes, Clupeidae.
AAGUCAAGCGUUUGCAAGUACUUAGGAAUGGAAGUAAAGGACCAAGUUUGUCUGUCUUGUUAGUGUUGGAUGAGAUUAAGAUGCCUGAACGAAUCAUGAUUGGUCAACAGGGAAUAUCAAUCCAGUUUGUAUGGGUACCUGCUCAUAAAGGAGUUGGUGGUAAUGAGGAAGCAGACAAGCUGGCAAAAGAGGCAACUAAGGAAGAGGAAGUUCAGUUAAACAUUCCUCUCAGCAGAUCAGAAGUUAAGUCCAGUAGAUGGCGGUAAUACACUUUGCCUGUAAACUGCCAUAAAACCUGACAGAAGAAGAAGAA